GGGGAAUCUUCCGCAAUGGGCGAAAGUCUGACGGUGCGACGCCGCGUGGAGGAUGAAGGCCCUAGGGUCGUAAACUCCUGUCAUCAGGGAGUAAAUGUUUGCGUAGUAACUGACGCAGGCCUUGAUAGUACCUGAAGAGGAAGGGACGGCAAACUUCGUGCCAGCAGCCGCGGUAAUACGAAGGUCCCAAGCGUUGUUCGGAUUUACUGGGCGUAAAGCGUCUGUAGGCGGCGCGGUAAGUCAGAUGUGAAAUCCCGGGGCUCAACCCCGGAACUGCAUCCGAUACUGCCGUGCUUGAGGGUCGGAGGGGAGUCUGGAAUUCUCGGUGUAGCAGUGAAAUGCGUAGAUAUCGAGAGGAACACUAGUGGCGAAGGCGAGACUCUGGACGACACCUGACGCUGAGAGACGAAGGCCAGGGGAGCGAAAGGGAUUAGAUACCCCUGUAGUC
This 448-nucleotide ribosomal RNA is filed under the name uncultured bacterium. RNAcentral's name for it is "bacterial SSU rRNA". It matches the Rfam family "Bacterial small subunit ribosomal RNA", at positions 356 to 795 of the family's 1533-position model. The record is from RNAcentral.